UAACGCCUUACGAGAUUGCAAUGGGUACAAUUUAAACCACUUAACGAGGAACAAUUGGAGGGCAAGUCUGGUGCCAGCAGCCGCGGUAAUUCCAGCUCCAAUAGCGUAUAUUAAAGUUGUUGCAGUUAAAAAGCUCGUAGUUGAACUUCUGGUAGUCUCGACGGCGGCAUUGUCGUAGUCUGGGGCUGUCAUCCGCUUGAGAACCACGUACGUCCUUGAGUGGUCGGCGUGGGAAUCAGGCCUUUUACUGUGAAAAAAUCAGAGUGUUCAAGGCAGGCAAGCGCCCUGAAUACACAAGCAUGGAAUAAUAGAAUAGGACUAGUGUCUAUUUUGUUGGUUAUUGGACAUUAGUAAUGAUUAAUAGGGACAGUUGGGGGCAUUAGUAUUUAAUAGUCAGAGGUGAAAUUCUUGGAUUUAUUAAAGGCUAACUUAUGCGAAAGCAUUUGCCAAGG
This 452-nucleotide ribosomal RNA is filed under the name uncultured ciliate. RNAcentral's name for it is "bacterial SSU rRNA". It matches the Rfam family "Eukaryotic small subunit ribosomal RNA", at positions 494 to 963 of the family's 1831-position model. Lineage: Eukaryota; Ciliophora. The record is from RNAcentral.